Cygnus olor (mute swan) is the source of this 4971-nucleotide long non-coding RNA. RefSeq lists it as uncharacterized. The transcript is spliced from 4 exons. Lineage: Eukaryota; Metazoa; Chordata; Aves; Anseriformes; Anatidae. The record is from RefSeq and is a predicted model, not a curated record.
AAACUCCAUGAGAUGUUGCCUAAAAUAGCCCUUUUCAGAAGUCAGUGCUAUCCCACAGCUUGAAAGGGUUCAUGAUGUGCAAGCCCACGACGUGUCAGGUUUUUCUUGUUCGGCUAUUUGUAGCUUUCUUCCUGCACUUUGCACUUCCAUCUGCUACUGCUGGGUUGGCUGCCAAAGACUACUUCUGCAUCUCUACAGCCAAAAGACCUGCUCCUGGGAGUAGCCACAGCAGACGGAUGCCACCAGGCCCUGCAGAAGGCUGUAAGAGGAACCUGAACUGGUGGGGAGGAGAGGAGCAACGAGCUCCCUUGCAAAGGGGAAUGAAAGACCACAAAGUUUUCAUCCCUUAGAGAACACCACACCACCAGUUAAGUGUGAUUGGUGAGAAAGGCAGAUCUGGAGAAAUCCCAGAGGAGCUCAGUCAGAAACCCAGUACUAUUUUAAGACCACAUUUGAUGUGUCAGAGCCCAGGUAACAGGCACUGUUCUUAUGGAGAUGAGGCUGUGUGCUGGUGACUAAGCCCACCAGGUGUGAGGCUAAAUCAGACACUGCUCAGGGCUGGUGUCCCAUUUAAUUACCAUCUUGAAGAACAGGUUGGGCCCUUUUCCAAGAAACCUGGUGGACAGGAAACGGGAGAUCUGGGUCCUGCUCCCAGCUCAGCCACUGGACUAGGAGGUGAAUGUGGGCAGCCCUUCUCCCCUCUGCAAAGGGACUUGGUUAUUUCGGUCAGCUCUUUGGCACAGGAAAUUUUAGUGCUGCGUGUGUUUGUUCAGCAUCCAUCACCAGGCUCUGAUAAUGUUUGAACUGCUUUUUCUGCAAUGGUAAAGUCCUCCUAAAACACCUUGGAAGUAAGUUGCUCUGAGAGCAGCAUCCAAUUACAGGAAAAAGAGGGAUGACAUCUGCCAUCGAUUCUCUCAGAGGAGGAUGGCAGGAGGAUGGCACCUACUGUCAUCUCCCAGGAUGCGAGGGGAGAUGAUCUCCCUUUCUCCCAGAGCUGCUGUUUCUGCUGCAAGGCAUGGGCUGACCCUGCUGUCAGCUCCAGCACUGCACAGGAGGAAGGGACAUAUUCUAAUGGCUAGGCGGGAGUUGCCAAGGUUUCUUGGUGCUGAGCUGCCUGCCCUUCCCAGCAGGCUCGGCUUGUCGCCUUAGAUUCACUGUGAUGUCACUCAUGUAACUGAAGUGGCUCAAUUCCCCCCCAGUUCGCGGGGCUGGGAGGACAGAGCUUGCUGAUGAAGCCAGCAUGUCUGGUAGCAGGAAGGACAGCCAGCAAUAAACCAAGGGUAUCUUUGCUCAGCACCAUUUCUGAAGGGCACAGCUUGGAUGCAUGCACAGACCAAGCCAGCUGAGGAUCUUUUGCACAAGAAAACUUCAUUUUCCUCUGGCACAUCAGGACCACAUACACAAAGAGGGGACACAGACCUGAGGAUGUUCCUCUGAGCAAGCUCCAGCAGCACCCCUCUGCUUGGAGAGCUGGUACCUGGCAAGGGGCAAAGAAGAUGUACCGGCAUACCUUCCCAAGAGGGUUUCAAGGCCCCAUGCUUGGCUGGCCCUUGUUUCCUGUCUGUCUGUCUCCCCUUACCUUGUCUGCUGCACACUGGCAUUGUGGUGACUCAUUCAUGCCUGCUGGCUCUCUGCAGUAAUUACCAGCGGAGCUUUCUGUCGUCACAGCUCUUAAGCCUCUUUUCAAAGGACGCUGAUUUUGUGAUCUGUUUGGGAAGAUGCGCACUCCUGCCCGUGGUGACAGGUUUGAGGAACCCACGGCUGGGACUGGUUUAAUCCACUGAGCUGAGCAGCUGCACGUGUGUGCGUGUUUUGUGUGUGCAAAAUCAUUUUAAUGAUUCACAGCGGAAGGGCAAGUGGGAGAGGAAGGGGGGGUGACAAGUGGGGCAUGUUCCUGCAGUGCAGAGAUAAUUGGCCCUGCAGUGGUAAUGCCAAGCUGGCUGUCAGCCUCUAACAAAGUGUGCGAGAGAUGAAGUGACACCCUGACAGGUCCCGCCGACGUCCGGGCCUGCCCUGCCUCUGCCAAACAAAUGAUUACAGCCUUUCCGCUGACAUUCAGGGAACUAAAUUGGAGGUAAUGACUCUCCUGGGGGGCUUGGAAUAGGGAUGGCGAGAGGGAGCCUCAUAACUUUGCACCUCACCUGGGACAUCCUUUCUUUUCUGCACUCUUCCCAAUGAGGACACAAGCAUUUCCCAGGAGAGCACACCAAAGUGCUGAAGUUCUGCCUUCCCUGCUCUCUUUCCCCAUUUCAGGUCCAUAUCUAUCCCCCCACAUCAGUGCUGACCACCCAUACAAACCUGGGCACCGAAUGGGGUAGGAGUGAAGACCCCACAACAUCACCUGGGUUUGACUUCACCCCAUCUUUGGGUUUCCUUUUCUUCCUAUGCUACAGCUCUAGCUCCCUUUCACAUUCUGCUCACCUGAUCUUCAAGAACUUGCAACUUUCCCUCUUACACAGAAGCAAGGGCCCCAAGUUAGGUAUUCACCAAAGGGACAACAAAACAGUGAUAUGUCACUUAUCUUAUUAAGAGCACGAUGUCACUCCUGCUGCAGCAGCUUGGUCUUCAAGUCAUCUUCAGGUCUCCUUAAAGCUGAAUCUUCUAUCACAAGUGGUACACUGCCAUACAAGAACAAAUGACAAUUUCUGAAGGUAUCUACCAGACUGCAUUCGUGCUGAAAUGACUUAGUGCUGCUGGAGUGUUGUGCUCCUGAUGGCAGUGUGCUCAAGUGUAAAUCCGGGUGGGUUGUUGUGCACUUCUGGGGGCUCCCAUUUUGCAGAAAAGCCACACUUUAAAAUCGUUAUCACAUUGAAUGGCUCAUGUCUUAAAUUUGCAUUGUAAUGGCCAUACAAGAAAUUGCAUUUGCUGUGGCUGGAAGAAAGAAAGCCAGAGGGAGAGAAAAACUUGAAACUUGUUGGCUGGAAAGAGUAGAAGUGCAGACAGCUGCUCCACCUCCUCAUGAUAUUCAAGUUUGUCAUAUCUAAAUAAAUAUGCUUGGAAAAUGUCCAUCACAAGGGAAAACAGUCAUCUCAAGGGUACUGCUGAAAGCAUGUGUCAAAGGUAACACUAUGGGCAUGUAAAUUGAUUCAGAGCACUUAAUUGGCACUGUUUUCUUUAGUACGCUGAUGUCAUUCCAGAACAAUCCCAACCCCCGGCACGCUAACAGCAGGUCAUAUUCUGAGCCCAUUUACUUCACAAGGUUGUUUCCUUUGACUCCAAUGGAUUAACCACUUCUCUACUGCAGUAGAGAGGGGUCGGAUCUAGAUCUCUUCCACUUAUAUUGAAUAUAAUUGAUCUUUGUAUUAGUUAAAAAAAAAAAAAAAAGGAAAGAAAACACAAAAAACUUCUAAAUAAAAGAUAAUGGAAAAUACAUUUUCACUACUGUAACCUUCCCAAGCACACUACAGAGCUUACUCAGCCAGAUGCUCUACACAUACUGACAGAGCAAACUUCACGAUUUAUAGGCAAAGCACCCCAAUGAGGGAACAGUUUUCACUCCCAAAUGAAUCAGAGAGCUAUUUUACACCCCCAAAACACAGCCUUUCAGUCCCUGAUUGGGAGAAACAAGCUCAGUUGCCUUCAUGGAUAAUCCCUCAUCUUUUCUAAUCCUUCCUGCAGAUCUCUUAACUCAAUGACUAGCAGCAUUUAGAAAAGCUUUCUUUUUCUUUAGAUGAUUGCCCUGUUUAGAUACUACUGAUUCAUAGUCUGAUAAGGUUCCUGAGACAAAAGCCUGCCUUGCUUUCCUCCCACCCCAAAGAAAGUCCAUUAUACGGUGACCACUCGCCUCUCAGUUCUCCCAGUUCUUACCCCAGCCUGUUUUAGCAGCUCAUUAUCAGAGAUCUCAAACUCAUCAGAUCUUUCUUGACUCCAUUAACUCCUUGUAUGCCAAAUUUACUGCAGUCACUACAAGGAAUUUUCCCCUCUCAAUUUCCAUAAUAAACCUAAUUCAAACUAUGUUUUCUUUGCAGUUUGGACAGCAAUGUAUUUAUAGACUGUAUGCAUAUGUAUCUUUUUUCAUGUGAUCAGUCCUUAAGUGAAGUCCUUCCGCAAAGUGUCCACCACAGCAAGUUCCCUCCCCAUGGGCACCACGUGGAAGACUUGAAGCUGUGACACCUGCUAAGACCCAUAGCCAAGUCCCAAACUGCCUCUUUUCAGGAAUCAGCAACAGUUUGUGAUAAGAAAUUCCACCUUGCACAAAAACUUCAGCUAAAUUACAUAUUUCAUUGAAAAGCCAGGGAUUAAGCCAUCUGCCUGCUUUGAAUGACUAGCAGUUUUUGCCCAGUUGCACCGACCUCUUCAAGCAUCUUGAAGUUCCUUUUGUAAAGAGAAUUGCAGGUGGCCCAUGAAGGACUUUGGACAAAAGUUCCUUCAUCAUCAUGUACAUAUCUCAUACCUUGCAGACUCAGACAGUGGCUCAGGAGUAGGGAUCUCUGCUAAUUGUCUGCUAAUUGUCUGUCUCUAAUGCCUGGCUACCAGCUGGCAGAGGCAAUGGCAUUUGCACUGUCACUUUUGCAGAGGAGCUUUACAAAUGCCAUCCGUUGUCCUCCACCUUCUUGCUUUGGUGGGAUCCUCAGGAACCUGGUGGGUGAUAACCAAUUGUAAAGCCGUUACUUUACAGCAGACAUAAUCUUUCUUCUUGGGUCUCAUAUAAGAAGAACAUUUCUAAAAAAUCCCCAAGAAAAGUUCUACCUGGACACCAAAGGUUUCUGUAUUUGAACAGAAACAGAAAAGAAAUGAAGUUUUUUGCUCUCCCUCCCCUCAUUGGUGAUGUCGAAUAUUUAAUCACAGCUUCACAAGGACAUGAAUUUCUCUUUGAAUUCCUCCCUGGGCUACAGUGGCAAAUCCUGGCUCAGGAACAGACUUCGGGCAUGUCUCUUGAUUUGGACUCUUGCUUUAUCUGGUCUUUGCAGCUCUUACUAACUUCCAGAAGGGUCUUCAGGUACACAAAAUAAAAACUGUGGAUGUGUGUGU